Molecule: long non-coding RNA, 215 nt
Filed under: Sus scrofa (pig)
Lineage: Eukaryota; Metazoa; Chordata; Mammalia; Artiodactyla; Suidae
Description: lncRNA (ENSSSCG00030067834.1)
Source: RNAcentral
ACCCCGCCCCUUGCAGUGCUGGGGAAAACCUUCUCUGCAGACGUCGGGAGAGCAGGAACACAUGUUUUCUAGUACUAAUGUCUAAUACAGGGCUGCAAUUGUUGGGUGUGCUCUAUCCGAAAGUUGAGAACUGUUUCCAGCUCAUCCAGGGCAGAAUGCCUGGUACGGGAAAAGCCAAUGUGAAAACCAGCUAUCUGAGUAGGUCAAACGGGUAA